AUACUUAUAGUAUAUAUAAUACAUUGGCCCUUCACACCAAAAAUUAACUUUUGUUAUAAGUACU
Molecule: transfer RNA, 64 nt
Filed under: Typosyllis sp. patternB
Lineage: Eukaryota; Metazoa; Annelida; Polychaeta; Phyllodocida; Syllidae
Description: tRNA-Glu
Source: RNAcentral